AAAAAACAAGCUCCUUUUAACUGAUUUCCACAUCUUUUAGCCCUCCACAGGGCUAGCCAGGCUUCGAUCCUUGCCAUCAAACCAAAAACAGAAAACACAAACUGCGCUAUAUCCUUGUUUUAAAUGUCAAAAGUUGGCACUAAAAGUGCAGCCACUGCUGCAGCUAACCUCGCAAACCUUCUGCCAACCGGCACAGUGCUUAUAUUUGAAGCCAUUGUACCUUCCUUUUCAAAUAAUGGUGAGUGUGUUCUAGCCAAUAAGUACCUCACUUUAGCCGUGAUUGUUUGUUGUUCUCUAGUUUGCUUUUUCUCUUCCUUCACUGAUAGCUUCGUAGGGCAGAAUGACAAGAAGCUUUAUUAUGGUAUCGCCACCUUUAAAGGGUUAUAUGUAUUCAACGAUAGCGAUUGCGCCGAUGGAAAUGGAAGCGAAGAACUGGAUGGGGCCCAGAUGAAAAAUUACAAAAUCACUCUGAUAGACUUUGUGCAUGCCUUCGCAUCGCUAACUGUGUUCUUGGUUUUUGCUCUUAGUAGCUCGGAUGUGCAAGAAUGUUUCUUUCCCAAGGCAGGACCUAAUGAGAAACAACUGAUCAUGAAUUUGCCAUUAGGAGCUGGGCUUUUGAGCACCUUUUUGUUCAUGGUAUUUCCCACUAAACGGAGAGGAAUUGGCUAUGGAGACGUGCCGCGUUCCAACAUCUGUAAAACAUCCGACACUGGGGACCAAAACACCCAGAAACAAACAGCUUAAGUUUUUAGAUUGAGCUCACAAUGGGCUAAUAUAGGUUGGCUUUUGUGAAUCUUGAAAUGUACUUGUAAGUGUAUUUGCAUUGUGUCAAAGUUGAGAAGGAAGAGCUGAAGAGUACUUCUGAAUCACUUUGAUGGAACCUAUCAUUAAUCACCUAAAUUCUCCUUGCAUACAAUCAGCUUGGAGCAUAUAUAUGCAAGAUAGAUGAAGUUGAAAAUAAAAUUGUAGGCCCUGUAAGCUAAAAUGAGCUUGAUUUUGAUGAUAACAAAACUUAAUGAAAUAUACAUUAACCUUUUAUGCAUAAGUAUUUGAAGUGAUUUUAUAGGUCAUGAUAUGCAAAGACACUGAUGGAAGGACUAUUCUAUUGACAUGGCUGAUAUAAAAGGAGUUUAUCAUCUUGUAUAACACAAGAUGAAUCAAAAUCAAGGAAGAGAGAAUAGAAUUUGGUCAUAUAGGUCAAAUGUAAGGGAUUAAGGAGACUUUUUGCCAAAAGAUGAACUAUAUAUAUUUUUUUUUAAUUCAAACUUUUGGAUAUCAUUUUUAUCAUAUUUCUAAGGUUUUUGAGUGGCCAAAAUAGUUUUUCUAAGUGUUCUAAGAAAAUCCAAAAUCUUGAAGUUCAAAUCAGACAGUAGUGAAAUUAGUUAGCUACUUUAAAUGUUAAUUUUAUCAGAAACCAAAUUAGCUACCUAACUUUAGCCUGCCUUACUUUUAGCUACCUAAUUCUCACCUGGAUAACAUUUUUAGCUACCUAAUUUUGAUCACCCCUGUCUGAAAUCAGUUUGCACAAUUUUCUAUGGACCAAUGGCUAGUUUUUCAAAAUUUUCUAGCUGUUGGACAUAUAUUUGAUUUGAUUCUUUCACCCUUCAAACAUGCCUAUAUAAGGUUUCAUUUACUACCUUUCACCAUGAAAGCAUUUCAACUCUAAGAGAUUUAUUGUAAUCAUUUAUGAGCUUUCAUUCUUGAGCUUCAUUUUUAUCAUUAUUAUAUCAUUGGCAAAUCUUCUCUCUAACCUUAAUAGCUCUUCAAUCUUGUAUUUAUGAGUGAAUGAGAGUGAUUCUUAUAAACCAAAACAUAUUUAUAGUUCUCAAGCAUCUUAUAGGCUUGAAGUUGAGUGUUCUUGUGAAGAAGAACUUGUAAACGUUUCAAGCACCUAGUAAAGGCUUGUGAGACUGUAAAAGGCUUGUCUUUUGCCCAUUGAAAAGAGCAUUUAGUGGACAGUGACUCUCAAAGAAGUUCUUUGAGGAGUGGGUGUAGGCUUGGAGGGCCGAACCACUGUAAAACUAUUGUGUUUGAUCUUCCUCUCCCUUAACUCUUUCAUUUCAGCACUUUGAUUACCUUUAUUGUUGUGAUUCUGUUGAUACAUUUUCUGAAAUUGCUGAAAUUGAAGUAUAUUGAGUUGUAACUUUGUCACUGAGCUUGAAUAUAAAAGGCAUACUUGGCUUGGUUAAAGUGUGAUUGUUUGGAUAUUGUCUCUUGAGCACAUUUAACUCGGUCAAAAAGUAAUAUUCACACACUUUGUUUGUCUAUCAUCAAUUUUUCAUAAGUGUCUUGAGUAAGGGCUAAAAAAUUGUUAUCCAAUUCAGUCCCCCUUGACCAUUUUCUUUGGGACAAUAAGUAUAUAUUUUUCCUUAAUUGAAUCGAUUCACUUUAUUUAUUAAUGCUUUAAUAUUUUCCUUAACUGUUCUUAUCAAAUUUCUUUACUUAUAAUUAUAACAAUCAAAAUUUUUUCUUUAAAUAUAAUAAAUUGCCUUAAUUAUAUUACAAGUUAUAAUUGAUAAAAAAUAUCACUUAUAUAUCAAAUUUCUGUUAUUUUUAAUUUAUUUGCAAGGGGGUUAUUACAUGGCCCGUCCUAGGGACAUGCCACAAUAUUUUUUUUUCCAAAAUUUUUUUCAAAUCCGGGCCAAACUGGACCAAACCAGCGGUUUCAGUCCUGUACAGUUUGCAAGUUGGGGGGGGACUGUAACUGCGAGCACCCCCCCUU
RNAcentral lists this unclassified non-coding RNA (2722 nucleotides) under Hevea brasiliensis (rubber tree). The record is from RNAcentral. Lineage: Eukaryota; Viridiplantae; Streptophyta; Magnoliopsida; Malpighiales; Euphorbiaceae.